Lolium rigidum is the source of this 2983-nucleotide long non-coding RNA. RefSeq lists it as uncharacterized. The record is from RefSeq and is a predicted model, not a curated record. NCBI's taxonomy places the organism in Eukaryota, Viridiplantae, Streptophyta, Magnoliopsida, Poales, Poaceae. The transcript is spliced from 8 exons.
CCGCGCCCCAUCCCCGUCGUGUGUGCCUCGUGGUCUUCUCCAUCGAGACAGCAAGCCGCCUCUCUCCCAAUCCCCGCACGCGGCUGUCUCCCCAAUCCCCUCCCUCAUGGAUGGUAAUAGGCGAAGCCGCACCGCGUCGCAAGAGGGAUACUGGAGCGGCGAAAUCAGCUACGUCGACGAAUCGAGCGUGGCCGCAUCUCGUGUGGUCUUCCUCUUACGUCCCAGUCUGAAUCUCCUCAUGAACACGUGAGGGAGGUGAUACUGACGCGGGCGCCGCCGCAGUUCCCUUCCCUGGAAGCCUACAGCUCCACGGGUCCUGCUCGAUGGCCGUGCUUGUCGCGUGCCCGUGGGCUGGGCGCCUGAAGCAGGGCAAGGCAGAGCAUGCCGUGGCCUAUGAACUUUGCUAUUUUCAGGUAUCAGGAAAUGGAAUCACCUGAUGUUUGCAAGCCAUGCCCGACAUAAGAUUGUAUUUCUUGGUGUACUGUAACCGUAGAGGAUUGGUUGAUCAAGGACUCAUGUGACCAAGAGCAAUGGUGUUGUCGAGCUGCUGGACAAGUGAGAUAUUUUAUGUCUUCACAACCAUAUUGUCGAAUAUAACUUAUGGUAGAUCAUCUUUGUCUGAUAAAAUGUUGAAGAUAAAUAUGACUAGAAGGAGAAGAAGGACGUCCAAACCUUUUGGUGUAAAAGACUAUUGAUAGGAUGACAAUAGGAGGACAAGAGAUGCCGCAUUACCUCCCCGGCCUCUUCUUCGGCAAGGAUCUGCAGGUAGCGGCUUUUGAAGAGAACAACAGUCUUUGGACUGAGCUAACAUACGCCUGAGUCAAAGGAUUCAGUUCAUGCCUCUUAGUGUUGUUGUUUCAUUUAUGCUAGCUUCAUUAACAUGCAGCUAGAACAACAACAGAGGCACAAGCAUGAUGAAGACACUCGAGAGACCUGCAAUAACUCUCUUAUGUCUCCUCCGGCGCCCCAAACAUGCAGCUAGAACAACAACAGAGAUACAAGCAUGAUGAAGACACUUGAGAGACCUGCAAUAAGUGUGUGAACCUUGGUGGAGACGAGAUAAUGGUAGUGUGAUUUAGAUUUGAGGAAACACCAUGUGACUUGCUUCUCUUCAGUAGAUGUUUAUGCAUGAUAUUCUCUGCGAAAACUUGAAUUUUUUUAUGGUUUGAGUUAAUUGAUGGUAGAUUCCUAUUUUUGUACAUAUGUUUAUUAUGCACUUACCGUUUACUCAUGAUAUAGUUUUAACUCUCAAGCAUUGUUAAUAUAGUGUUCGGAGAAGAUGAGAAAGGAUCAUUUCUCUUAAAUGUUUCACCAAGGUACAUGGGUGCAACUUUGUUGUAUUGAACAUGAUUCAUUUGCAUUGGUUUAUCUUUGGGUGAUGCAGGCCCUAAUCAUAUUUACAUUUCCUUUCCGUUGUCGCUUUUAAAGACCAUGCUGCGAUGGCCGACAAUGCAUUGCCUAUGUAGAUGAUAAUUUUAGCGUUCCUUGCUUUUGUUGCUCUCGGCAAAAUCAACAACUGUUAAUUUCUAUAUUAUAUAUAUUCCUCUGGUUAUUUACUGUGGUUUGUGAUGAUUUGUAAAACCUAAAAAUUAUUAGCAUUUCCCUAUCUAUACAUGGGUCUUACGGGAUCAUGUGCCAAGGCGGACCCAAUCUGUAUUUUUUUUCUUUAGGUAGCGGCUUUUGAAGAUAACAGAAGUCUAUGGACUGAGCUAACAUACAUAUGAGUCAAAGGAUUCAUGCCUCUUACUAUUGGUUUUUCAUUUAUGUUGGCUUUAUUAACGAGAAUCAGUAAUGUAUUAUUUUCAUCAUCUUCUGUACAAUAGAUGUUGAUGAUUCAUCUUCAGAUAUAUGUUUGUUUUUGGGACCAGACUACCAAUUCAAUAGGCUGUUAGAUGGACUGGAAACCAGAUAUGUUUUCUCUGCCAUUUCAGGUCCAUUGCAUGCCUAAUGCUAUCUCCUUGUGGACCCAGGCAGGGAAAUAUCCUAGGAUGCAUCUUGCUGAAUUUAUCAAUUUUAUUCUAUUUGAAAACGUGGUAUGCUUCACCAAGCCUUCGACAUGUCAAAAAUACUCUGCUAUUUUGAUCAUACUUGCUAUUUUGAUUUAUCUGGGGUAGCUAUGAUCUAUUAUUAAUAUAUCCUGGUAUACGUGCUCCCCCUCUAGGUUAUGCUUGACAAUUAUGCAUCAUAUCAAUUUAUGUUAUCUCAGAUGUUGGAUUUUAUAAAUAGCGCUCUUAAUAGCCUUUGUGGAUGCCUGUCACCUAAUGCUUCUAACUAUUAGCGGUAAGGGUUAUUGCAUUUUUCUUAAGUUGGCCUUCAUAGUAAUAUGCUUUCUCCAUAAAGAGAAAAAUAUAGGUAGUACUGCUGACCUCAAAAUAGAAAUUAGCUUUCCUAGGUACUUUAUCUUUUAACCUUUCCACUUGGUAGGAAUAUUUUGUUCAGGGUUCAGAGAUGGUUCUUCAUUCUUGGCUUGGGUUGAACUUGCUCUUUGUUAUUAGGCUGCUUCUUUUAGGGUUAAUGUGUGAGUUCCUCUUUUCAAUUUAGUACAUCCACCCUGUGUGUAAAUGUUUUAUUUAUUUGUUGUCUGUUCUCUUCCUUUAACUCAUCUCUAGCAUGAAGAGCUUGCUCGCCACUAUUGCUUCCAGUUAGGAUGGAGCAUUUGGGUUGUUAUGCAUGUAUGAUUGUUUUCUCUUUAUGUUGUGCAUUUCAACUGUGGUAGUUUGGAGUGUGCUCGUUUAUUUAGCUGCAUAUACUUGGCAGGUUAUGAAAGUACUUAAAUAUAUUCUUCAAAAUCAAGAUCUGGGCAUGCUUCUUUUGCUUGUAUCAGCACACAUUUGUUCUAAUUAUAUUUUGUUGUGCUUUCUACUGCUUUUAGUGCAGUUUAAUUUCAUAGAAAGUAAGCACAGUUAAGCAUGUUAACCUCUUCUUUUUCUUAGAUGCAUCUUACAUCACUACAAAAUAUGAUAUGGUGUCGAGUGUUGCUCUG